This 71-nucleotide transfer RNA is filed under the name Bergeyella cardium. It matches the Rfam family "tRNA". Rfam says of the family: Transfer RNA (tRNA) molecules are approximately 80 nucleotides in length. Their secondary structure includes four short double-helical elements and three loops (D, anti-codon, and T loops). Lineage: Bacteria; Pseudomonadati; Bacteroidota; Flavobacteriia; Flavobacteriales; Weeksellaceae. The record is from Rfam by way of RNAcentral. RNAcentral also lists the same sequence under 3 other names.
AGACUCAUGGUGUAACGGUAGCACAAGUGAUUUUGGUUCAUUUAGUUGGGGUUCGAAUCCCUGUGAGUCUA